UCCCUUGUAGCCGCAUAAGUGUCCGACCUCUACAGGUAUCCAUACGAGACUCUGAUCUGAUCAAAAGUCUUAUUAUCUCAUCGGGGUGCUAGCUCCCUUGCAAAGAUUGUAUUUUCAUGGUUGAAAUUUUUUUUUUUUUCUUAAGACACUCUUAGAGAAUAAGAAGAUGUAGAAGGAUCUUGAUCUCUAUACUAGAGAUCAUGAGAAGAAUCUGUUCUUCUCUUUUCUUCCUAAAAUUUAUGCACCAAAUCUCUACAAUA
RNAcentral lists this long non-coding RNA (260 nucleotides) under Elaeis guineensis (African oil palm). RNAcentral describes it as "long non-coding RNA (EGUI_LNC063437)". Lineage: Eukaryota; Viridiplantae; Streptophyta; Magnoliopsida; Arecales; Arecaceae. The record is from RNAcentral.